Acomys russatus (golden spiny mouse) is the source of this 126-nucleotide small nucleolar RNA. RefSeq annotates it as small nucleolar RNA SNORA40. The transcript has a single exon. The record is from RefSeq and is a predicted model, not a curated record. Lineage: Eukaryota; Metazoa; Chordata; Mammalia; Rodentia; Muridae.
ACUUUGUGUUUUUGUUGAACUGGUGAACAAACACAUAAAUACAGGUAAAAAGUAAAAAGAAACCCAGUUUUGUAAGCUAAAACACAUGGUUCAGCAUGAGUUUCUACACAGAUAAGGAGGAAUAUG